Molecule: non-coding RNA, 115 nt
Organism: Triticum aestivum (bread wheat)
Lineage: Eukaryota; Viridiplantae; Streptophyta; Magnoliopsida; Poales; Poaceae
Source: Rfam
GUUAUACUCCCUCCGUUCGGUAUUACUUGUCUCGAAAAUGGAUGUACCUAAAAUUAAAAUACAUCUAGAUACAUUCAUUUUCACGACAAGUAGUUCCGAACGGAGGGAGUAGUUG